ACACACGCUAUCAGUCUGUCGGUGGCACGUUCGCCCUGGGGAGACACUCAUGCAGUACAGUCUCGCAUCCUAGUUACAACUCUGAAACAGGCGCAGAAAGCGAACGCUGAAGACGCCAGUCGACAUCGGAAUGAGGCCUGUAUUCUUUCUGAUUGUUGUGGCUGUUCUCGCACUCCUGCUGUCAGAGGUAGUAGCCAAAGAAUCUGAUGAUGCAUAUGAAGACGAGGGUAAUCCAGUUGCCAAGGCGACGAACUUCAUAUGGGAAAUAAUAGAGGCUUUUGUUGAGUUCUGGAGAAUGUUUCUAGAUCGCCAGUGAUGGACCAACGAAAGCUUUCGCAAACCUCCACGCUCCAUAGUUCUGGUCUUUUUCGAGAUAAAGGGACCAUAUAGUUCCACAGUAAAAGCCACAAUACACAAAAUGUUAAUAGUCUGUAAUAUGAAUAUAUACAAUAAAUGGCAAGACUUGUCUUUAGACUGAUGAUACGAGGUUAAAUAAUAUUGUAGAUGAUGUUGAUGUUUGUAUCUGUUAGAGUAACUUUUUUAUGUGCAGUUUGUGAUUCACAUAGAACUUAAUACUGAAAUAUGCCACAGCAGUCAAUGCAACAUUCAUUCCCUCUUCCUACUCAAUGACUGCAACUCCAGAAUUUUCAUUAGUUUCAUUUGACUGAUAUUUCAUGUGCAUUUAAAAUCAAUAAGCCAUAAGAAAACGUUAGUUAUUUUGUCUAUGUCAGCUUACAUGACUCUCAAGUAUGUUUUGAAUUGUUUAAAGCUAAUGUAAACGUUAGGAAACAAGGCAAAUAAAUGAAUGAACAGCAAAACAAA
Schistocerca gregaria is the source of this 822-nucleotide long non-coding RNA. RefSeq lists it as uncharacterized. The transcript has 3 exons. Lineage: Eukaryota; Metazoa; Arthropoda; Insecta; Orthoptera; Acrididae. The record is from RefSeq and is a predicted model, not a curated record.